Molecule: small nuclear RNA, 104 nt
Organism: Cercocebus atys (sooty mangabey)
Lineage: Eukaryota; Metazoa; Chordata; Mammalia; Primates; Cercopithecidae
Source: Ensembl
AUGCUCACUUUAACAGCAUGUAUACUAAAAAUUGGAACAAUACAGAGAUAAGCACUGACCCUGCCCAGGCUGACAUGCACAUUUGUGAAAUGUUCCGUAUUUAA